CCUACGGGGGGCAGCAGUAGGGAAUCUUCCGCAAUGGACGAAAGUCUGACGGAGCAACGCCGCGUGAGCGAAGAAGGUCUUCGGAUCGUAAAGCUCUGUUGUCGGGGAAGAACAAGUACGGCCGGAAAUGGCCGUACCUUGACGGUACGCGGCGAGAAAGCCACGGCUAACUACGUGCCAGCAGCAGCGGUAAUACGUAGGUGGCAAGCGUUGUCCGGAAUUAUUGGGCGUAAAGCGCGCGCAGGCGGUCCUUUAAGUCUGAUGUGAAAGCUUGCGGCUCAACCGCGAGCGGUCAUUGGAAACUGGGGGAGUUGGGUGCAAAAGAGGAAAGCGGUAUUCCACGUGUAACGGUGAAAUGCGUAGAGAUGUGGAGGAAGACCAGUGGCGAAGGCGGCUUUCUGGGCUGGAACUGGCGCUGAGGCGCGAAAGCGUGGGGAGCAAACAGGGUUAGAUACCCUAGUAGUC
RNAcentral lists this ribosomal RNA (465 nucleotides) under uncultured bacterium. Its description in RNAcentral is "bacterial SSU rRNA". It matches the Rfam family "Bacterial small subunit ribosomal RNA", at positions 338 to 795 of the family's 1533-position model. The record is from RNAcentral.